This is a long non-coding RNA of Oryzias melastigma (Indian medaka), 2529 nucleotides long. RefSeq lists it as uncharacterized. The transcript is spliced from 5 exons. NCBI's taxonomy places the organism in Eukaryota, Metazoa, Chordata, Actinopteri, Beloniformes, Adrianichthyidae. The record is from RefSeq and is a predicted model, not a curated record.
AUCCAGAGGGGGAGGGGCGUGUAGCACCCGCUUAGCCAGUGAGGGCGGGUCAGAGGGACGGGCAAGGGUGAGUAGCACCUGUCAGCUAUGCUCACAGCUUUAAUAUGAUUAUUUUUUAAUAUUUUUCUUAUUUUGGCUGCUGUUCAUUGGUGCUUCCCAAAAUGAACAAAAAACCCAAAUUGUCAAAUUAACCUUUAAAAAUCAGAAGAAAACUGUUUUUGGGUUCCAAGGGUUACAGCGGUGUCUUGUUGAGUGACAAACAAAACCUGAAAUGAGCUGGACGGCGUUUAUUCAUCCCAAAGUUUGGAUUUGAACCCAGACUUCAGUGGUUGAGUUGAAGAUGCUCACUGCUCUGCAGGAAGUUAUUAGAGAGAAAAUAAAAAUGAGGCUUCAAUCAAAGUUAGCAUCUUUACUGUUUCACUUUAUUAGUUCAGUUUUCUAAAUAGAACCUCCAGAAAGUCCUAAUUCCUCAACGAUUAGUUUUAAAACUUCUUUAUUUGAUCCUUAACUGAUUCUGUCAAACGCUGCCUCCUGGUGAAGCCUUCAUUCAUGUCUCUGGGGACAGAUUGUCUUUGAUGCACUCCCACAGACUGAAUCAAUGCCUCUCAUAAUAGUCUUGUUGUGAUGAAGCCUGCAGACCAACCUGCAGGUGCAGCGCCGCUCCACCACCUUCCUGUCCCUGACUCCGCCUCCUCCGCUUCCCAACAGGAAGUAGAGUAAAAACGUGACGGACAUUCUGCCUUUCUGUGAGGCUGAAGCCGGAGGAGCACAGACACUCCAGGGGUUAUCACUGUGUAGGGUCCUUUCAACUCUCACUUGACCUCUGACCUGUCCUCCACCUCCCUUCUAAAUAAAGGUUGAGCAGUAAGCGAGGAGAAAAACGGCUGAGAACUUUCUGACAGAAAGUCUGAAGAAAAGCGUUUUGACUUGAGGGAAGAAGAACCUGCUGAUGUUCUUCAACGUGACCUUCAGUUCUGAUGUUUUCUGAGUAAAAAUCAGGCGUGUUUAGCCAAUAAGAAGCUUCUAUGGCAGCUUGGUUGAAAACAUGUUGGACACGGCCCUCCAGGGCUGGAGGUCGACCCCUGUGCACUCCGGGGCUGCAUGAGGAUCAGUCGACUGUUAAAAUAAUGAAGCUGAAGCAGCAGCUGUGGAAAGGCUGAAGGAGAGCCGGAGAGGUUUUCGUCUUCGAGCACGUCAACGCGUCCUCACAAGAGUCCGGGAGCUCUCUGGAAUCUGCAGCGUCUGGGAAGGAGACGUGUCGGCUGAAGGCCAGAUUGUGGAGCAUGCCUGUCAGCAGCUCCGACACCUCCACCACCGGCCCGAUUGGACCUGGAUGACUGACAGGUCUGGAGGAAGAGGAGCUGGGUUCGGAUGAGGAAGUCUAUGAUGGAGAAGUCAGGAUGAGAGCGGGAAGACGGAGGAGAGAAGCUCUCUCCUGGAACUACAAAUCAGAGCUCCCAUGAUGCACCGCGGCGGGCGGAGCCUCCAGUCCGUUUCCAGCGCGAUCAAGUUUAAGAGAGACAUCUAAACAUCAGGCAGACAGCGGUUCCAGUCGCAGCAUUUUUAUUUAGAAGAGACAGGCAGACAGCAGCCAGGCUAAGCUAAGGGUCCACAGAGCUAAAUCAGAGUUACGUCCAGGUAAGAGGUCGGGCAGGCGGCAAGGAGGCAGAGUCAGGAACAAAGCAAUGCGAUCAGACCACAGGUAAACGCUAGGUAUGCUGGCAGACAAACAACUGACUGAUGAACUGAUGAGAAUCAGGUGUGGAGUCAUCCAAACAUGAUCGCAGAUUGAGGGCAGUCAGUACUCAGGGGAUGGCUCCCGCCGAUGACCCAUGGGGAAAACAGCGAGUUGACUCCUGACACCACAAACGAUUAUUUUAUUAGUUGACUAAUCUCUGAUUAAUAUUUUCGAUUGGUCGACUAAUCGGAUCGCGCGUUGACUGGAUGUGAAACGCGUCUUAACCAUCAUUAGCUUUAAACUUGAAAGUGUUUGAGCUUCAUGCUAACUAAAAACAAAGACAAUAGUUUAUUAAACCUUUAAUGACUCAUGCAGCUUUUUGUCCUUCAUUUAUUGUCUAGCAUUAAAACAAGACUUAAAUCAAAUGAGGCAAUCUGAAUUAACUACAAAAAAACAAAUAAAAGUCUGCAAUUAUUUUUUAAAGCUUUAAAACAUAUAUUUAAUAAAACGUGCUUGUAUAAAGUAUUUCAAAAUGCAUAAAUACACUAACAAUAUUUUCUCACUGAGGCCUAUUUAUUAAAGCAAAACACUAAUGACAUCUUUGAACUCCAGAUAUUCCUAAACAUAAAAAAACCUCAGGAGACAUCCUGUCUUGAAGUCAAGGAUUCAUGGAAGAAGUUUAAACUGUUUGAUUAGCAGGUUUCAACGAAGGCGUUCUACACGUCAGAUGAACUCGCAGAGUAACUGCCGUAAAACCAGGCGUCUGUCGUAAACACUGAUGUUACUUCACCAUAAACCCGUAGCGCCUCCUAGUGGAGCUCUUUGUAAUAACACAUUUGCAGAUCACAUCA